AGGAUAAACGCUGGCGGCGUGCAUGAGACAUGCAAGUCGAACGGACACUUGGGGCUUGCUCCAAGUGUUAGUGGCGGACGGCUGAGUAACGCGUAGGUGACCUGCCCCGAAGUGGGGAAUAACUGCCCGAAAGGGUGGCUAAUACCGCAUGUGGUGGUGUGUUCAUUCACACCAGUAAAGCCGCAAGGCGCUUCGGGAGGGGCCUGCGUCCGAUUAGCUCGUUGGUGGGGUAACGGCUCACCAAGGCGACGAUCGGUAGGUGGUCUGAGAGGACGAUCACCCAGACUGGGACUGAGACACGGCCCAGACUCCUACGGGAGGCAGCAGUCGGGAAUUUUGCGCAAUGGACGAAAGUCUGACGCAGCAACGCCGCGUGAGGGAUGAAGGCCUUCGGGUUGUAACCUCUUUUAUCAGGGAAGAUAAUGACGGUACCUGAUGAAUAAGUCACGGCUAACUACGUGCCAGCAGCCGC
Molecule: ribosomal RNA, 472 nt
Filed under: uncultured bacterium
Lineage: Bacteria
Description: SSU rRNA
Rfam family: Bacterial small subunit ribosomal RNA
Source: RNAcentral